AUUGAACGCUGGCGGCAGGCUUAACACAUGCAAGUCGAACGAUGAAGAUAUAGCUUGCUAUAUCGGAUUAGUGGCGGACGGGUGAGUAGCACUUAGGAAUCUACCUUUUAGCGGGGGAUAGCUCGGGGAAACUCGAAUUAAUACCGCAUAAUUUCUACGGAAUAAAGAGGGCUUUUAGCUCUCACUAGAAGAUGAGCCUAAGUAAGAUUAGCUAGUUGGUGGGGUAAAAGCCUACCAAGGCGACGAUCUUUAGCUGGUCUGAGAGGAUGAUCAGCCACACUGGGACUGAGACACGGCCCAGACUCCUACGGGAGGCAGCAGUGGGGAAUAUUGGACAAUGGGGGCAACCCUGAUCCAGCCAUGCCGCGUGUGUGAAGAAGGCCUUUUGGUUGUAAAGCACUUUAAGCAGUGAAGAAGACCUAUUGGUUAAUACCCAAUAGCGAUGACAUUAACCGCAGAAUAAGCACCGGCUAACUCUGUGCCAGCAGCCGCGGUAAUACAGAGGGUGCAAGCGUUAAUCGGAAUUACUGGGCGUAAAGCGAGCGUAGGUGGUUAAAUAAGUCAGAUGUGAAAGCCCUGGGCUCAACCUAGGAACGGCAUCUGAAACUAUUUAACUAGAGUAGGUGAGAGGGAAGUAGAAUUUCAGGUGUAGCGGUGAAAUGCGUAGAGAUCUGAAGGAAUACCGAUGGCGAAGGCAGCUUCCUGGCAUCAUACUGACACUGAGGCUCGAAAGCGUGGGUAGCAAACAGGAUUAGAUACCCUGGUAGUCCACGCCGUAAACGAUGUCUACUAGCCGUUGGGGAACUUGAUUCCUUAGUGGCGCAGCUAACGCAAUAAGUAGACCGCCUGGGGAGUACGGCCGCAAGGUUAAAACUCAAAUGAAUUGACGGGGGCCCGCACAAGCGGUGGAGCAUGUGGUUUAAUUCGAUGCAACGCGAAGAACCUUACCUGGUCUUGACAUAUACAGAAUCUAGCAGAGAUGCAAGAGUGCCUUCGGGAAUUGUGAUACAGGUGCUGCAUGGCUGUCGUCAGCUCGUGUCGUGAGAUGUUGGGUUAAGUCCCGCAACGAGCGCAACCCUUAUCCUUAGUUGCCAGCACGUAAUGGUGGGGACUGUAAGGAGCGGCCAGUGACAAACUGGAGGAAGGCGGGGACGACGUCAAGUCAUCAUGGCCCUUACGACCAGGGCUACACACGUGCUACAAUGGUAAGUACAAAGGGAAGCAACACAGCGAUGUGAAGCCAAUCUCAAAACGCUUAUCUCAGUCCAGAUUGGAGUCUGCAACUCGACUCCAUGAAGUCGGAAUCGCUAGUAAUCGUGGAUCAGAAUGCCACGGUGAAUACGUUCCCGGGCCU
This 1354-nucleotide ribosomal RNA is filed under the name uncultured bacterium. RNAcentral's name for it is "bacterial SSU rRNA". It matches the Rfam family "Bacterial small subunit ribosomal RNA", at positions 28 to 1381 of the family's 1533-position model. The record is from RNAcentral.